RNAcentral lists this ribosomal RNA (637 nucleotides) under uncultured Vagococcus sp. RNAcentral describes it as "bacterial SSU rRNA". It matches the Rfam family "Bacterial small subunit ribosomal RNA", at positions 9 to 649 of the family's 1533-position model. The record is from RNAcentral. Lineage: Bacteria; Bacillati; Bacillota; Bacilli; Lactobacillales; Enterococcaceae.
GAGUUUGAUCAUGGCUCAGGACGAACGCUGGCGGCGUGCCUAAUACAUGCAAGUCGAACGCACCGAAGCUUGCUUUGGUGAGUGGCGGACGGGUGAGUAACACGUGGGUAACCUGCCUAUCAGAGGGGGAUAACACUUGGAAACAGGUGCUAAUACCGCAUAGAUUUUUUUCGCAUGAACGAAAAGGAAAGACGUUCGUGUCACUGAUAGAUGGACCCGCGGUGCAUUAGCUAGAUGGUGAGGUAACGGCUCACCAUGGCGAUGAUGCAUAGCCGACCUGAGAGGGUGAUCGGCCACACUGGGACUGAGACACGGCCCAGACUCCUACGGGAGGCAGCAGUAGGGAAUCUUCGGCAAUGGACGAAAGUCUGACCGAGCAACGCCGCGUGAGUGAAGAAGGUUUUCGGAUCGUAAAACUCUGUUGUUAGAGAAGAACGAGUGGGAGGUAAUUCCCGCUGUGACGGUAUCUAACCAGAAAGCCACGGCUAACUACGUGCCAGCAGCCGCGGUAAUACGUAUGUGGCAAGCGUUGUCCGGAUUUAUUGGGCGUAAAGCGAGCGCAGCGGUUUCUUAAGUCUGAUGUGAAAGCCCCCGGCUUAACCGGGGAGGGUCAUUGGAAACUGGGGGACUUGAGUGC